RNAcentral lists this ribosomal RNA (747 nucleotides) under uncultured sediment archaeon. RNAcentral describes it as "bacterial SSU rRNA". It matches the Rfam family "Archaeal small subunit ribosomal RNA", at positions 6 to 756 of the family's 1478-position model. The record is from RNAcentral.
GGUUGAUCCUGCCGGACCUGACUGCUAUCGGAUUGAUACUAAGCCAUGUGAGUCAUUGUAGCAAUACAAGGCAGACGGCUCAGUAACACGUAGCCAACCUACCCUAUGGACGGGGAUAACCUCGGGAAACUGAGGAUAAACCCCGAUAGAUCAUAAUGCCUGGAACGGUUUAUGGUCCAAAUGAUUCGUCGCCGUAGGAUGGGACUGCGGCCUAUCAGCUUGUUGGUGAGGUAAUGGCCCACCAAGGCUAUUACAGGUACGGGCUCUGAGAGGAGAAGCCCGGAGAUGGGUACUGAGACACGGACCCAGGCCCUAUGGGGCGCAGCAGGCGAGAAAACUUUGCAAUGUGCGCAAGCACGACAAGGUUAAUCCGAGUNGUGUUUCCUGCUAAAGGAAUCUUUUGCUAGUCCUAAAAACACUAGCGAAUAAGGGGUGGGCAAGUUCUGGUGUCAGCCGCCGCGGUAAAACCAGCACCUCAAGUGGUCAGGAGGAUUAUUGGGCCUAAAGCAUCCGUAGCCUGCUUUGUAAGUUUCCGGUUAAAUCCAUUAGCUUAACUGAUGGGCCGCCGGAAAAACUGCAAAGCUAGGGAGUGGGAGAGGUAGACGGUACUCGGUAGGAAGGGGUAAAAUCCUUUGAUCUAUUGAUGACCACCAGUGGCGAAGGCGGUCUACCAGAACACGUUCGACGGUGAGGGAUGAAAGCUGGGGGAGCAAACCGGAUUAGAUACCCGGGUAGUCCCAGCUGUAA